GUGAGGAAUAUUGCGCAAUGGAGGCAACUCUGACGCAGCCAUGCCGCGUGCAGGAAGAAGGCGCUACGCGUUGUAAACUGCUUUUAACCGGGAAGAAACCCCAGGACGUGUCCUGGGUUGACGGUACCGGAGGAAUAAGCACCGGCUAACUUCGUGCCAGCAGCCGCGGUAAUACUAAGGGUGCAAGCGUUAUCCGGCUUCAUUGGGUUUAAAGGGUGCGUAGGCGGAGCGUUAAGUCAGUGGUGAAAUCCUGCAGCUUAACUGUAGACUUGCCAUUGAUACUGGCGCUCUUGAGUGCGCUUGAAGUGGGCGGAAUGUGCCGUGUAGCGGUGAAAUGCUUAGAUAUGGCACAGAACACCAAUUGCGAAGGCAGCUCACUAAGGCGAUACUGACGCUGAGGCACGAAAGCGUGGGGAUCGAACAGGAUUAGAAACCCUUGUAGUCC
Molecule: ribosomal RNA, 445 nt
Filed under: uncultured bacterium
Lineage: Bacteria
Description: partial 16S ribosomal RNA
Rfam family: Bacterial small subunit ribosomal RNA
Source: RNAcentral